This is a long non-coding RNA of Gadus macrocephalus (Pacific cod), 1286 nucleotides long. RefSeq lists it as uncharacterized. NCBI's taxonomy places the organism in Eukaryota, Metazoa, Chordata, Actinopteri, Gadiformes, Gadidae. The transcript has 3 exons. The record is from RefSeq and is a predicted model, not a curated record.
UCACUCUCUUCUUCAUGUCUAAUAACCUAGCUAUAACAAAUGCACACACAAAAAAAAAAAAUGAAAUUGAAUAUUGUCAAGAUGCUUGAAAUGUUUUAAUAUUCAUGUAUGUAUAUGAUUAUGUAUGUAUAUAUAUAUAUAUAUGUAUAUGUAUGUAUAUAUAUGUAUAUGUAUAUAUAUAUAACAUAGUAUAGUAUUAUUUUAAACCGUUUAACCGGUAGAAGUCAACUACCCAAAAAUGAAAUUGUUAGAGCUGCUGCUUUAGAACUCUUAAUACUUGGGUGUCUAAUUCGUUUUGUACUUUUUUCUUUUUUUUCUUUAGAAUGCCGCAAACACAGGACACAGAAGGUGUUCCUGUAUGAUAGGAUUUUAAGAAAAAGAGUUGCAAAUGGAAGAGCAGAAGUGAAAGUGAGGUGGCAAUCAUGCACAAAAUGUGGCAAGGCCUGGAAGGACACGUGGGAGCCAGCUGAGCAGUAUCAACAGAAAUAAAGUCCUGUUUAGUUCUCACCUGUAUAUGUUUCAAUAUGUUAUAUGUUAAUUCUGCCGUUGGAAUAACACACACACACACACACACACACACACACACACACACCAAAAUAAUGUUCAAUAAAAUAUGUUUUAUGGUAUGUUUGUUGUCUUUUUAAAUAAUUUUUGGAUUUUUUUCUUUGAUAAUGGCGGACAGUUUUUAUUCUUGGUGGAAAAUAUGAUAUUGUAGUGCCAGAGGAAAGGCAGAACGUAGGCAACGUAAUAAGAACCGUUUUAAUCCAGAAAACAAAGCAGAACAGUGGGUCUGUUCGAAACCACCUACUUGCUUCAUACUCUUACUAACUAUGACGUCAAAUUGAGUAAGUAGAACGUAGUAAGCGAGUUUUAGGUAAGCGAGUAGUAUCCGAAUGUCUUCUACUUCCGGAAAGAUUUUGUGUAAGCAUCGCUAGCUUACUAGACGUACUCAACCGCCCCAGAAGGCACUGCGUCUAUUCAGAAGAACAAUGGAAGCAAUGGCGCUAAACGGGGAGCCGCAGCAGCAGAGCCCACAGCUAUACAUUCUAUAUUAACUGGCAAUCUAGCAUUAGGACAAAGAAGAGGAAACGCGGGAAAAUCUGACAAUAGACAAGAAAAAAUAAUAAUAAUUAAUCAUAAUUAAUAAAUGUUUUUUUUAAUAAUUGUUUUUAACAUAUCACCGCAAAUCCUUAGGUUGAAGAUGUACUGUGACGUGUAAAUGUGACGUUUAUAUAUUUAUUCAUAAUAUUUAUUAACGGCGCCCGGCCGGUAGGUUAUUGACACGU